UGGAUCCAGACUUUGAUCCUGGCUCAGGAUGAACGCUAGCUACAGGCUUAACACAUGCAAGUCGAGGGGCAGCAUGAAGUCAGCUUGCUGACUUUGAUGGCGACCGGCGCACGGGUGAGUAACGCGUAUCGAACCUGCCCUGUACUCGGGGAUAGCCUUGCGAAAGUAAGAUUAAUACCCGAUGUUGAGCGGUCAUCGCAUGGUGUCCGUUCCAAAGAUUUAUCGGUACAGGAUGGUGAUGCGUCCCAUUAGCUAGUUGGCGGGGUAACGGCCCACCAAGGCGACGAUGGGUAGGGGUUCUGAGAGGAAGGUCCCCCACAUUGGAACUGAGACACGGUCCAAACUCCUACGGGAGGCAGCAGUGAGGAAUAUUGGUCAAUGGUCGCGAGACUGAACCAGCCAAGUAGCGUGCAGGAAGACGGCCCUCCGGGUUGUAAACUGCUUUUAGUUGGGAAUAAAAGGGAGUUCGUGAACUCCGUAUUGUAUGUACCAUCAGAAAAAGGACCGGCUAAUUCCGUGCCAGCAGCCGCGGUAAUACGGAAGGUCCGGGCGUUAUCCGGAUUUAUUGGGUUUAAAGGGAGCGUAGGCGGGUUUUUAAGUCAGUUGUGAAAGUUUGCGGCUCAACCGUAAAAUUGCAGUUGAAACUGGAAGCCUUGAGUGUACACAGGGGUGCCGGAAUUCAUGGUGUAGCGGUGAAAUGCUUAGAUAUCAUGAAGAACUCCGACCGCGAAGGCAAGUGCCCGGAGUACAACUGACGCUGAGGCUCGAAAGUGCGGGUAUCAAACAGGAUUAGAUACCCUGGUAGUCCGCACAGUAAACGAUGGAUACUCGCGGUGCGUGAGUAAUUAUGCGUCGCCAAGCGAAAGCGUUAAGUAUCCCACCUGGGGAGUACGCCGGCAACGGUGCAACUCAAAUGAAUUGACGGA
RNAcentral lists this ribosomal RNA (926 nucleotides) under uncultured Bacteroidota bacterium. RNAcentral's name for it is "bacterial SSU rRNA". It matches the Rfam family "Bacterial small subunit ribosomal RNA", at positions 1 to 917 of the family's 1533-position model. The record is from RNAcentral. Lineage: Bacteria; Pseudomonadati; Bacteroidota.